GUAGGUGGCAAGCGUUGUCCGGAAUUAUUGGGCGUAAAGCGCGCGCAGGCGGUUCUUUAAGUCUGAUGUGAAAGCCCACGGCUCAACCGUGGAGGGUCAUUGGAAACUGGUGAACUUGAGUACAGAAGAGGAAAGCGGAAUUCCACGUGUAGCGGUGAAAUGCGUAGAGAUGUGGAGGAACACCAGUGGCGAAGGCGGCUUUCUGGUCUGUAACUGACGCUGAGGCGCGAAAGCGUGGGGAGCAAACAGGGAUUAGAUACCCUGGUAGUCCACGCCGUAAACGAUGAGUGCUAAGUGUUAGGGGGUUUCCGCCCCCUUAGUGCUGCAGCUAACGCAUUAAGCACUCCGCCUGGGGAUACGGCCGCAAGGCUG
RNAcentral lists this ribosomal RNA (372 nucleotides) under uncultured organism. RNAcentral describes it as "partial 16S ribosomal RNA". It matches the Rfam family "Bacterial small subunit ribosomal RNA", at positions 527 to 896 of the family's 1533-position model. The record is from RNAcentral.